This 348-nucleotide transfer-messenger RNA is filed under the name Lachnospiraceae. RNAcentral describes it as "UBA2868 sp017612555 Standard tmRNA". It matches the Rfam family "transfer-messenger RNA". Rfam says of the family: Bacterial tmRNA, also known as 10Sa RNA or SsrA, is named for its dual tRNA and mRNA-like properties. Its role is to liberate the mRNA from a stalled ribosome. To accomplish this part of the tmRNA is used as a reading frame that ends in a translation stop signal. The record is from RNAcentral. Lineage: Bacteria; Bacillati; Bacillota; Clostridia; Lachnospirales. RNAcentral also lists the same sequence under 1 other name.
GGGCUUGUACCGGUUUCGACGGGGGUCCAGAACUUAGGAUAGCCAUCCGCGGCCUCAUACCGCGUCAACAAAUGAGAACUUAAAUUUAAACGCAAACAAUAAGUAUGCGGUAGCAGCCUAAGCGCUGCUUGUCGCCCGCACUUAGCCUACUGAGUGCGGAUACGGCAUCAAACAGGUAGGGAACCUCACGCGCAAAGCUUUGAGCGUGCGAGAGAACUAUGAAGCUACCGGCGUUGCCGGUUUGUCAUUUGUCUUGCAGCUUCGGGAAUCUUUAACAAAUGACUGUGAUGGGAGAAAUCUUAACGGAAGGGCUUUCGGACGCGGGUUCGACUCCCGCCAGGUCCACUA